AAGGUACUCGAUGUAUUGUGAGGUUUAAGCAGCGAAAGAGGCGCAACAUUGUUAAUCGUCCUCCGGUCGGUAUAGUUUACUCGAUACUGAGAAUCAACACAGUCGUUCCAACUGUGUGGAUAUGGAUCGAUGGAAACUCUUGCUUCUUCUGCUCCUGCUCCUGCCACUGUGUUGGUGUUUGGACUUUAAAGUGACGGUUGGUAAAGGACCCGAUGCCUUUCCAAUAUGCACCAAUAAACCGCAGAGUGUCUUCACAGUUGAAUUUUAA
Molecule: long non-coding RNA, 268 nt
Filed under: Sparus aurata (gilthead seabream)
Lineage: Eukaryota; Metazoa; Chordata; Actinopteri; Spariformes; Sparidae
Description: lncRNA (ENSSAUG00010020354.1)
Source: RNAcentral